AGAGUUUGAUCCUGGCUCAGGAUGAACGCUGGCGGUCUGCUUAACACAUGCAAGUCGAACGGACGUUUUCGGACGUUAGUGGCGGACGGGUGAGUAACGCGUGAGAAUCUGCCUUCAGGUUGGGGACAACAGUUGGAAACGACUGCUAAUACCCAAUGUGCCGAGAGGUGAAAGCUUUAGUGCCUGAGGAUGAGCUCGCGUCUGAUUAGCUAGUUGGAGUGGUAAUGGCACACCAAGGCGACGAUCAGUAGCUGGUCUGAGAGGAUGAUCAGCCACACUGGGACUGAGACACGGCCCAGACUCCUACGGGAGGCAGCAGUGGGGAAUUUUCCGCAAUGGGCGCAAGCCUGACGGAGCAAGACCGCGUGAGGGAGGAAGGCUCUUGGGUUGUAAACCUCUUUUAUCAGGGAAGAAGAUCUGACGGUACCUGAUGAAUCAGCAUCGGCUAACUCCGUGCCAGCAGCCGCGGUAAUACGGAGGAUGCAAGCGUUAUCCGGAUUUAUUGGGCGUAAAGCGUCCGCAGGUGGUUUUUCAAGUCUGCUGUUAAAGCGCGAGGCUUAACCUCGUAACGGCGGUGGAAACUGAGAGACUAGAGUAUGGUAGGGGUAGCGGGAAUUCCCAGUGUAGCGGUGAAAUGCGUAGAUAUUGGGAAGAACACCAGCGGCGAAAGCGCGCUACUGGGCCAUAACUGACACUCAUGGACGAAAGCUAGGGGAGCGAAAGGGAUUAGAUACCCCUGUAGUCCUAGCCGUAAACGAUGGAUACUAAGUGCUGUGCGACUCAAAACGUCCAGUGCUGUAGCUAACGCGUGA
Molecule: ribosomal RNA, 812 nt
Filed under: uncultured Oscillatoriales cyanobacterium
Lineage: Bacteria; Bacillati; Cyanobacteriota; Cyanophyceae; Oscillatoriales
Description: bacterial SSU rRNA
Rfam family: Bacterial small subunit ribosomal RNA
Source: RNAcentral